RNAcentral lists this long non-coding RNA (40090 nucleotides) under Hordeum vulgare. RNAcentral describes it as "long non-coding RNA (HVUL_LNC005055)". Lineage: Eukaryota; Viridiplantae; Streptophyta; Magnoliopsida; Poales; Poaceae. The record is from RNAcentral.
UCAAAAGGAGAACUUCUUUCAAGAACACAUGUACUUCAUUGGAGAAAAUUCCUAUGACAAACCUCAAAUCAGGCAUCUGAAGUUUUGGACGAGGACACAGCUCAAUUACUAUGCCUCUGUGUUGUGUGGAAUAAACAAGAUUUUCCAGCACAUGCAUAUUCCUCAUGUUGAGCUUGAAGCAAUACCAUGCCUAGCUCCAGUUCUCAACGUCCUUCAUGAAGCUGGACUUCUCCCCAUGUGCUCUGGUAUCUGUGAUUGGAACAGUGAGCUUAUUCUUCAAUUUUAUGCCACUCUUCACAUAUCUGGGGAUCCAGCAGAUAUCAACACUUGGGUGUUUGACUGGAUGACGCAAACAACACACCACAAGGCUCCUGCCAUUGAGCUUCUGCGUGAACUGCCAGUAUCAAUUCCUUCAGAACAAGCGGUGAAGCUUUAUGAUGAACGUGAGCUGCCCAACGGGAUGAUGGAAGUCCUCAUGAAGCCUUUGGCUAAAGGGAAACCACCGAGAAAAACCUUCCUCAUCCACGAGUCAAAUAUGAACCAAGGACUGUUUACAGAAUCCUCAGCAGCGUCCUUGCGCCAAUCAAGGGAGACAUGAUGAUGAAGAAGACGUUGUAGGCCUCAUGAAGAAUAUCCUCUUCAACAUCACUCAUGGUAUUCCUAUCAACAUCCAUGAUUGCUUCUUCAGGACUUUGGCCGACAAUGCACUAUGUCCUUUUGACCAGAAGAUAUAUGCUCCAUGGAUCAUGAGAUUCAUCAGGAAAAGGACAGGCAUCAACUUUUAUGCAGAUUGCAACAACCAUGUUGGUUACAUGCCUCCUAUCAGGGUCAACAAGAAGACUUUCGAGCCUGUUGAAGAAAAAGGCAAGUCUGUCAUUGAUGAAGGCAGUAGGCCCCUUGAUGGCCAGUUCAGAGAGCCUGAGCCAUAUUCUUCAUGGGAUGAUACUGAGACUCAUCCUCCAAGCCCCGUUGCUCCUCGCGUGCUGAAUACUAGAGAGCUUCUCCUCGGUGUUCACCAGAAGGUGGAUCGAAAUCACAAGUGGGUCAAACGCCAGUUCGGCGCCAUUGUGAAAACCCUCACUGAAACGCAGAAUUCUGUGAAGCUUAACCAUCACUAUCUUCAUGAGGUUUUUGAUCACACCUGGGCUACACUUACUCAUCUGAAGACUCCGGCAGAACUUGAAGAAUUGGAGUUUGAGCGAGACUUUGACUGGUCGUGGCCACCAAAGAAGAAGUUCAGGCCAAUUCCAGUUCCAGACCUUGAGGACAGUUCUUUUUCUUCAUUUUGCACUGCUGAAUCUGAUGAAGAACAACAAGACACUGCCACCGAUCCAAGGAAGAAGACUGCUCCAAAGAAUCCUAACGCAUCUUCAUCAACCGCCAAGGAGUGAAGUCUUCACGGGCAUUAGUCCUCAGUUUGUCCCUUUUUGUCACUUGAUGACAAAGGGGGAGAAACUUGAGAUUUAGUCUUCAAGCGGGAUAUUUUGGGGCUAGUGAACUAUAUUGAAGUUACAAACUCUUGGCUCUUCUGAAGUGUUUAUGUAAUGAGUUGUAACUUAAGCCCGAUGGUACUCUGACGCUUUUGAAUGUUUUUCUUCGCAUGCUUAUUCCUCAAAAUUUUAAUGCACGCAUGCUGGAAUUCGUCGGAUACCAAUUGUCAGCAUGCAUCUUCAAUUUCUUCAUACUAUAUGUCAUAUGUAUGCAUGAUUUACAAGACUGAGGGGGAGAUCUCCAUGAUAUAAAUCAUCAAUGUGCAUUUGCUGUGAAAAGAAAAAUCCACAAGAUAUGCACAUCUUCCGGGGGAGUCCCUCUGAAUCUUGAUUUCAAAUUCCUCAAAUGAGUAUUUACACUUCAUAUUUUUAUCCCUGUUGAAGACUUAACCUAAUUGUCAUCAACCACCAAAAAGGGGGAGAUUGUAAGUGCAUCUAGUGCCCCUUAGUGAUUUUGGUGGUUUGAAGACUUAUAGGUUAAGUAUCUAAUGUGUUCAUGAGUGUACACAGGAUCUAUAAGUCACUGAGGAGUUUGAAAUAUUUGAUGAAUAUCGACCCCUAAAAAUGUAUAUCUUCGGUUGAAGAAAUUGGUCUGAAGCUGAAGAAUUGAAUCGUGAAGAAUCUGCGAUGAAAUUGAUAUUCCUCAUGAAGAUAUUGAAAUUGAGGAAUUCGGUGUGUCCUGAAGAAAAUCAUUCUGAAGACUUUGAAGCAUGAAGAUUUACUCUUUCUAUUUUGUUUUGUUCACACUUGAGUAAUAGGAACAUUGUACUGUUAAAGGGGGUCGAGGUAACACUUUGGAAUGAAUUUCCUCAUGAUGCUCAACCCAAGCCUAAUCCUACCAAAAGCCUCAAGUGAGGAAUAUGAGUGACAUGAGGACUCUCAUAGUUGAGGGUUCCGACCGUUUCGAUAGCCACGCCACAUCAUUAGUAUUAUCCACACCAACGGUCAUAUUAUUUAAGGGCAUUAGUGUCAAAUCAUGUUGGGAUGCUCCCAGGAUAUAAAUAGCUGCCCCCACAACCAUUAGCUGGUUGGCUGCUCCACUAGAAACUGACACUUGUCAUAAGAGCAACCCAAAUUCCUCAGAGUCUUCGAGAGUAAUUCAUCAGUGAGGAAAUACCCCAAACACCAAACCACAAACCGAGAACCAAGUGAUUGAGCAUCACUGAAGAAGUUGUUCCUGUGUGGGACUGAAGCCUUUUACCUUUGAGGACUGUGCAUCAUCGAGACGGUUAGGCGUCAUGGUCUAGAGCAAUCAAGCAGUCAAUUGUGGAUCGCCGGGUGAACAAGUUUGUGAGGGUUUGGAAGUCUGCCCUCAAGACUUACCACGAGUGUUGGGCGAGGACUGUGUGUUCUUAGCCCAAGGAGAACACGAUAGGGACUGUGUGUCCCAGGACUGUGUGUCUUUUGGUUUUAAUACCAAGCCGCUCCAAACCAGAUGUACAACUGUCACAUCAGUUGGAACUGGGUCAUCAACUACUGUCUUCACUGUGAAACGGGUUCUAAUUCCUCAACUCUUUAUAUUCCUCAGAUUAUGUGUUGAUGACUUUCACUAUCACUGUUUGAAGAAUUUGCUGAGGACUUUUUCUGAAAUUCCUCAACCCCAAAUUCUUCACGCAAGUUAAUCCUCAUCUGUUUUCUGCGUGCCUGCUUACUAUGCAAUCUGUUUUCACAUUCCUCAUACUGAAAAAUUGUUGUAGUGAAACUUUGCACUCCUGAUCCUUUACUAUUUCCGCUGUGAGUUAGUCAUCACUGAGGAAUUUCCUCAAAAGGAAGUUUCUCAGUGAUGAAAUUCUAAAAAUCUCCUAUGCACCCCCCUCUAGUCGAUAUAACGCACUUUCACCUUUUAUCGACCAAAUGCUAGAAAGACUGUCUAAACACACACACUUCUGCUUUCUAGAUGGUUAUUUUGGUUUCUCCCAAAUACCAGUUGCACAAUCUGAUCAGGAGAAAACCACUUUCACGUGCCCUUUCGGUACCUUUGCUUACAGACGUAUGCCUUUUGGCUUAAGUAAUGCACCUGCCACCUUUCAAAGAUGUAUGAUGGCUAUAUUCUCUGACUUUUGUGAAAAGAUUGUUGAGGUUUUCAUGGAUGACUUCUCCGUUUACGGGUCUUCUUUUGAUGAUUGCCUCAGCAACCUUGAUCGAGUCUUGCAGAGAUGUAAAGACACCAAUCUUGUCUUGAAUUGGGAGAAGUGCCACUUUAUGGUUAAUGAAGGCAUCGUCUUAGGACAUAAAAUUUCUGAAAGAGGUAUUGAAGUCGAUAAGCCUAAGGUUGAUGCAAUCGAGAAAAUGCCAUACCCCAAAGGUAUCAAAGGUAUAAGAAUUUUCCUUGGUCAUGCUGGUUUCUAUAGAAGGUUCAUUAAAGACUUCUCUAAGAUUUCUAAGCCUGUUACCAAUCUCUUGCAAAAGGAUAUUACUUUUGUCUUUGACGAUGAUUGUGAGGAAGCCUUCGAAAUACUUUAGAAUGCUUUGAUAACUGCACCUAUUGUUCAACCACCUGAUUGGAACUUACCUUUUGAAAUCAUGUGUGAUGCUAGUGAUUAUGCUGUUGGUGCUAUCCUAGGGCAAAGAGUUGAUAAGAAGUUGAAUGCCAUUCACUACGCUAGUAAAACUCUAGACAGUGCCCAAAGAAACUAUGCUACUACGGAAAAGGAAUUUUUAGUAGUCGUGUUUGCAUGUGAAAAGUUCAGGUCUUACAUAGUUGAUUCCAAAGUCACUAUUCACACUGAUCACGCUGCUAUUAAGUACCUCAUGGAGAAGAAAGACGCUAAACCUAGACUCAUCAGACGGGUUCUCUUGCUACAAGAAUUUGAUUUGCACGUCGUCGACACGAAGGGUGCUGAUAACCCCGUAGCAGAUAACUUGUCUAGGUUGGAGAAUGUUCUUGAUGACACACAACCUAUUGAUGAUAGCUUUCCUAAUGAGCAAUUGAAUGUCAUCAAUGCUUCACGUAGUGCAUCGUGGUAUGUUGAUUAUGCAAACUAUAUCGUUGCCAAACAUAUACCACCUAGUUUCAUAUACCAGCAAAAGAAGAAAUUCUUCUUUGACUUGAAACAUUACUUUUGGGAUGAUCCUCACCUUUAUAAGGAAGGAGUAGAUGGUGUUAUUAGACGUUGUGUACCUGAACAUGAACAGGGACAGAUCCUACAGAAGUGUCACUCCGAGGCCUACGGAGGACACCAUGCGGGAGAUAGAACUGCACACAGGGUAUUGUAAUCAGGUUUCUAUUGGCCCACUCUCUUCAAGGAUGCCCGUAAGUUUGUAUUGUCUUGUGACAAAUUUCUAAGAAUAGGUAAUAUCGGUAAACGUCAGGAAAUGCCUAUGAACUAUUCACUUAUCAUUGAACCAUUUGAUGUCUGGGGCUUUGAUUAUAUGGGACCUUUUCCAAAAUCCAACGGGUAUACUCAUAUCCUAGUUGUUGUUGAUUACGUCACUAAGUUGGUAGAAGCUAUCCCCACUAGUAGUGCUGAUCACAACACCUCUAUCAGGAUUCUUAAAGAAGUUAUUUUCCCUAGAGUUGGAGUCCCUAGAUAUCUAAUGAUCGAUGGUGGUUCACAUUUCAUUCAUGGUGCUUUCCGUAAAACGCUUGCUAAGUACGAUGUCAACCUUAGAAUUGCGUCUCCCUAUCACCCUCAGUCUAGUGGUCAAGUAGAGCUAAGCAAUAAAGAGAUUAAACUGAUUCUGCAAAAGACUGUCACCAGGUCUAGAAAGAAUUGGUCUAAGAAGCUCGAUGAUGCACUAUGGGCUUAUAGAACUGCCUAUAAGAAUCCCAUGGGCAUGUCUCCGUUCAAAAUGGUGUAUGGUAAAGCAUGUCAUUUACCUCUUGAGUUAGAGCAUAAGGCUUAUUGGGCAAUCAAAGAACUCAACUUUGAUUUCAAACUUGCUGGUGAGAAGAGGCUAUUUGAUAUUAGCUCACUUGAUGAAUGGAGAACUCAGGCAUAUGAGAAUGCCAAGUUGUUCAAAGAAAAGGUUAAGAGGUGGCAUGAUAAAAGGAUACAAAAGCGUGAGUUCAAUGUAGGUGAUUAUGUCUUGCUAUAUAAUUCUCGUUUAAUAUUUUUUUGCAGGCAAGCUUCUCUCUAAAUGGGAAGGUCCUUACAUUGUUGAGGAAGUAUAUCGUUUCGGUGCUAUCAAGAUCAACAACACGGAAGGUAACUGUCCGAGAGUGGUAAAUGGGCAGAGAAUCAAGCACUAUAUCUCAGGUACUCCCAUAAAUGUUGAAAGCAAUAUUAUCAAUACCAUAACUCCAGAGGAAUACCUAAGGGAUGUUUCUCAGCCUGUUUCAGACUCCGAAAACAAAGAGGUAUGUGAUUCGGUAAGAAAAAAGACUUUCUCCAGUAAGAAUUUUUCUCCGUUUUGGAAUAUUUGAAAAAAUUGAAAAAAUUGCAGUAGUCCGGAAAGCGCAUGAGGAGGCGACAAGCCUGCGAGGCGCGGGCCACCCCCUGCCGCGCCUGGGGGCUUGUGGCCACCGCGUGUGCCUCCCGGACUCCGUUUGCAUGCGGAGUACUCCUUCUGGUCUCAAAAAAAUAAUUUUAUAUUCUCCCGUAAGGUCUGACCCUCGUAUCACACGAUUUUCCUCUGUUUUCGUUUCGAGCCUGUUUUCAGCCGCAGAUUUAGGGCAAGAUGUCUUCUCAAGAUUCAGAGGGGGAGAGCUAUGUGGCCGAUUACCUUGCCAACCCCAAGGUCUAUGGGGACUUGGAUCGUUAUGGUUGGACCACUGAUGAGGAAGAAGAUUAUGAUCCCAAGGGGAAGGAAGGAACAAGUUCCGAUGAAGAGGAGGCUCCUCUACCUCUGCCCGGAGACACCUAUGUGGAGUUCAAGAAGUCGAGCCUCCCUGACUCAAGGAAGAAGCCUAAGACUUUGUUUAUCCCUUCUUGUUUCUUGUAGGAGAGUAAGCAGGAAUUAUGCCAAAGGGUGUUGAGGCUUGAAGAGGAAAAUGAUGAUCUGAGGGAGCAUAAUUUUAUGCUCAAGUUGAAAUUAAACAAGCUCAAGACCUCUGCAACAACUCCACCAUCAUCACCUCCAAAGGAAGACAACUAAGCAUGGGUAUGGGCAAUCCCCUUGGCUUGUCACAAGAUUGGGGGAGUUGCCGCGGUGUCGUAUCACCAUCACAUCUUUUGCCUUUAACUUUGUUUUAGUUUGUCCCUUUUCAGUUUUCUCUUUCUCUAGUAGAAUAAAGGUCUUAGUGUUUUAGGCUUGAGUUUUGCUUUGUGUCUCCCCCGAUGUAUUCGAGCUCGUGAGCCAUAUAAUAAAGAGUGUCUUAGUUAAGGGCUUUGUCUCUUAUCAUGAUCAAAAGAUUGAGAAAAGAACAAAAGCAUGAAAGAUCAUGUAAUGAUCUUAUGGGAAGUGAUGGCUUCACAUAUAAGAAGAAUGAUGACUGAAACUUGUUGAGGGUAGACAAACGUAGACCUUGGUCAUUGUUGCAAUUAAUAGGAAGUGAUAAAGAAGGAGAGGUUCACAUAUAAAUAUAUCAUCUUUGACACCAUCUAUGAUUGUGAACACUCACUAAACUAUUGCAUGCUUAUAAGUAGAUGUUGGACAAGGAAGACAACAUAAUGAAUUGUGUUUGCUUGGUUCCGAACAAUGUUAUAUGAUUAGAGAUCCCUUAGCAUUUGACGAUUUCUUCCACCUCAUACUAGCCAAAACUCCCGCACCAAGUAGAGAUACUACUUGUGCAUCCAUAAACCUUCAACCCAGUUUUGCCAUGAGAAUCCACCAUACCUACAUAUGGAUUGAAUAAGAUCCCUCAAGUAAGUUGUCAUCCGUGCAAGCAAUAAAAAUUGCUCCCUAAUAUGUAUGAUCUAUUAGUGUGUGGAAAAUAAGCUUUGUACGAACCUGUGAUGAGGAAGACAUAAAAGCGACAGACUGCAUAAUAAAGUUCUUUAUCACAGGAGGCAAUAUAAAGUGACAUUCCACCGCACUAAGAGGACACGCAUCCAAACCUCAAAAGCGCAGUCAACCUCUGCUUCCCUCUGCGAAGGGCCUAUCUUGUACCUUUACCUUUUUCCCUUGAAAGAGUCAGGGUGAUCUUCACCAAUUCCUUAUUUCGCCUUUAUCUUGGCUAACGUCAUAUGCUUGGGAAGUAAGUAUUCAUGAAUUAUUAUUGUUAACAUUACCCUUGAGGUAAAUGGUUGGGAGGCAAAACUGUAAGCCCCUAUCUUUCUCUGUCUCCAGAUGAAACUUUGAUCUCAUGAGUACAACGUGAGUUGUAGAAAUUGUAGAGGACGAAAGGAUGAUUGAGUAUGUGGAUUUGAUUUACAAGCUCUUAUUUGACUCUUUCUGAUGUUGUGAUAAAUUGCAAUUGUUUCAAUGACCAAAGGCUAUCGGUUGUUACUUCUCGGUAAGGUUCUUGAUCCAUACUUUACUUUGUGAAGGAAUUGUCACUUUAGCAUGAGAGAUUAUAUGUUGGUAUUGCUGCUCUGAUCAUGAUCUUGAUGCCUGCAUGUUCGUACCUUGUUUUGUCGACACCUCUCUCCCUAAUCAUGUGGGCAUGUUUAUUGAUCCAGGCUUUCGCUUCACGACAAGCGAGGUCUAAACUUGGGGGAGUUGAUACGUCCAUUUUGCAUCAUGCUUUCAUGUUGAUAUUUAUCGCUUCUUGGGCUGUUAUUUCACUUCACAGUACAACACUUAUGCCUUUUCUCUCUUAUUUUGAAAGGUUUACAUGAAGAGGGAGAAUGCCGGCAGCUGGAAUUCUAGCCUGAAAAAGGAGCAAGUUUGAGAUGCCUAUUCUGCGCAACUCCAAAAGCCUUGAAAAUCAACGUGGCUUUUUUGGGGUUUAGAAAAAAUACUAGGCCGAAGAAGUGCCAGAGGGGCGCCAGCAGGUGGCCACAAGCCUGCUAGGCGCGGCCACCCCCCUGGCCGCGCCUAGGGGGCUUGUGAGCUCCCUGCUGGCCCACUGGCCCCCUCUUUUGCUACAAGAAGGGUUUCGGUCUGGAAAAAAUCAAGAGGAGGCUUUUCGGAGGAUUCGCCGCCGCCAUGAGGCGGAACUUGAGCAGAACCAAUCUAGACCUCCGGCAGGACGAUCCUGCUAGGGAAACUUCCCUCCCGGAGGGGGAAAUCGUCACCAUCGUCAUCACCAACACUCCUCUCAUCGGUGAGGACUCAUCACCAUCUACAUCUUCAUCAACACCAUCUCAUCUCCAAACCCUAGUUCAUCACUUGUAAAAAAUCUCCGUCUCGCGACUCCGAUUGGUACUUGUAAGGUUGCUAGUAGUGUUAAUUACUCUUUGUAGUUGAUGCUAUUUGGAUUACUUGGUGGAAGAGUUUAUGUUCAGAUCUUUGAUGCUACUCAUUACCUCUCUGGUCAUGAAUAUGAUUAUGCUUUCUGAGUAGUUACUUUUGUUCCUCAGGACAUGGGAUAAGUCAUGCUAUAAAUAGUCAUGUGAAUUUGGUAUUCGUUCGGUAAUUUGAUGUGUUGUAUGUUGUUUUUCCUCUAGUGGUGUUAUGUGAACGUUGACUACAUAACACUUCACCAUUAUUUGGGCCUAGAGGAAGGCAUUGGGAAGUAGUAAGUAGAUGAUGGGUUGCUAGAGUGACAAAAGCUUAAACUCCAGUUUAUGCGUUGUUUCGUAAGGGGCUGAUUUGGAUCCACUAGUUUAAUGCUAUGGUUAGACAUUGUAUUAAUUCUUAUUUCGUAGUUGCAGAUGCUUGCGAGAGGGGUUAAUCAUAUGUGGGAUGCUUGUCCAAGUAAGGGCAGUAUUUACCGUUGCUAUCAUACUACGUUGCUACUGAUACUUUGCUACAGAUAAUAAGUCUUUCAGGUGUGGUUGAAUUGACAACUCAACUGCUAGUACUCGAGAAUAUUCUUUGGCUUCCCCUUGUGUCAAAUCAACAAAUUUGGGUUGAAUACUCUACCCUUGAAAACUGUUGCGAUCCCCUAUACUUGUAGGUUAUCAAGACCUUUUUCUGGCGCCGUUGCCGGGGAAGCAUAGCUAUAUUCUCUGAGUCACUUGGGAUUUACGUCUGCUGAUCACUAUGAGGAAUCCAAAAGAUCCAAAAACUAAAGUCUUGCCCUCAACUAUGAGGACAGGUAAGGAACCGCCAUCUAGCUCUGCACUUGAUUCACCUUCAGUUAUGAGUAAGUUUGCGACACCACCUCCUGCUAGAAAUUUUGAUAUGUCGCAUGUGCUUGAUGAUGCUACUUCUGCUGUCCAUGAUGCUUGUGAUGAUGCUUUGCUUGAUACUGCUUUGCCACUAGGUGCAUCCCUUGAUGCACAAAUUGCUAGAGUUGCUGCUAGAUGUGAUGAUACUUCUGAAACUGCUGAGAUUAUUGAAGUAGAACCUGCUAUUUCGCGUGUUAGAACUAGCUAUCCUAGAUAUGAAUUGCGUGAUAUGCCUGAGGAUUAUGUUAUGGAGGGAGAGAUAGCUGAGGACUUUCUUGCUUGUAAGGAUAGCUAUGAUGUUGAGAAAUUACUACGCAAGUGGAAAGAAAAAUCUUUGAACACUAGGAUGAAAUAUGACCCAAAGUUUGCUACUUCACCUAUCUUUGUGACCGAUAAGGAUUAUGAAUUCUCUGUCGACCCUGAGUUAAUCACUCUGGUCGAAUCUGAUCCUUUUCAUGGUUAUGAGUCUGAAACGGUUGUAGCACAUCUUACCAAACUACACGAUAUAGCCACCCUAUUCACGAGUGAGGAAAAGAUCCGCCACGACUAUAUCCUUAAGAUGUUUCCUUUCUCGCUAAAGGAUGAUGCUAAGACUUGCUUCACUUCUCUUGCUCCUGGUUGUGUGCGUAGCCCCUAGGAUAUGAUCUACCACUUCUCUGAAAAAUAUUUCCCUGCCCGUAAGAAGUAAGCUGCCUUGCAGGAAAUAUACAACUUUGCGCAAGUUGAAGAAGAGAGUCUCCCACAAGCUUGGGGGAGGCUCGUCCAGCUGCUGAAUGCUUUGCCUGAUCACCCUCUUGAGAAGAAUGAAAUACUUGAUAUCUUCUAUAAUGGACUAACCGAUGCUUCUAGAGACCACCUAGAUAGUUGUGCUGGUUGUGUUUUUACGGAACGAACCAUAGAACAAGCUGAGAUCCUAUUGAAUAAUACCUUGUGCAAUGAGAAUGCUUGGACUAUUCCCGAACCACCUCCGAAGCCAACUCCUAAGAAAAGAGGUAUUCUAUUCCUCAGUCCUAAAGAUAUGCAAGAAGCUAAGAAAUCUAUGAAAGAGAAAGGCAUUAAAUCUGAAGAUGUCAAAAAUCUACCACAUAUCGAAGAGAUCCAUGGUCUUGAUAACCCGAUACAGGUAGUAGAGGUAAAUUCUCUUCGUAGAUUCAAUGAGAGUGCUAUUCCUUUUGAUAAACCUGCUAGCUUAUGCCUGGAUGAAUUUGAUAACUUUGUUGCCAACAACAAAGUUUCAAUGAUUAUGUCAGCAGACAAUUGGAACAGAAUGCUCGCAUGCUUAGUCAUUUAAGUGCUUGUGUGGACAGAAAUGUCAAUGAUCUUAAGCUCUUGAGUAAACAUGCCUCUAUGGUUACUACUCAGGUAGAACAAGUACUUAAGGCUCAGAAUGACUUGCUCAAUGAGUUGAAUGACAUUUCUGUCAGAGUCGUCACUAGAGGCGGUAGAAUGACCCAGGAACCUUUUUAUCCUGAGGGUCAUCCUAAGAGAAUUGAACAAGAUUAUCAAGGAGUUAGCAUUGAUGCACUUAGUCAUCCUAGGAAGAAGAAGAAAGACGAUAGGAACCUGCACGCUAGCAACCCUGUUGCUGUUACACCUGAGAGUCCAAACGAUGUCUCUAUUUCUAAUGCCGAAACACAAUCUUGUGAUGAACAUGAGCCUAAUGAUAAUAUCGAUAGUGGUGUUCAUGAUGAUGCUCAACCUAGCAAUGAUAAGGAUGUGGAGAUUGAACAUGUUGAUCUUGAUAACCCACAGCCUAAGAAUAAGAGAUACGAUAAGAACGACUUCGCUGCUAGGAAGCAUCGUAAAGAAAGGGAACCAUGGGUUCAGAAACCCAUGCCCUUUCCUCCCAAACCAUCCAAGAAAAAGGAUGAUGAGGUUUAUGAGCGAUUUGUUGAAAUGAUUAGACCUGUCUUUCUGCAAAUGCGUUUGACAGAUAUGCUCAAAAUGUCCCCGUAUGCCAAGUACAUGAAGGAUAUUGUGACUAAUAAGAGGAGGAUACCUGAGGUUGAGAUUUCCACCAUGCUCGCUAAUUAUACCUUCAAGGGUGGAACUCAUAAGAAACUAGGUGAUCCCGGAGUGCCCACUAUACCUUGCUCCAUUAAAGGAAACUACGUUAGAACUGCUUUAUGCGAUCUUGGAGCCGGUGUUAGUGUUAUGCCUCUCUCUCUCUCUUUAUCGUAGGCUUGAACUGGAUAAGUUGACACCCACUAAAAUCUCUAUGCAAAUGGCCGACAAAUCAACUGCUUUCCCUAUCGGCAUUUGCGAGGAUGUGCCUGUUGUGGUUGCUAACGUUACAAUCUUAACAGACUUUGUUAUUCUGGAUAUUCCCGAGGAUGAUGCCAUGGCGGUCAUCCUUGGAAGACCCUUUUUAAACACUGCAGGGGCUGUUAUUGAUUGCAACAAAGGCAAUGUCACUAUCCAUGUCAAUGGCAAUGAGCAUACGGUGCACUUUCUGAAGAAACAAUAUCGAGUACAUUGCAUCAAUGCUAUUGAAAAAACUUCAUCAAUUCUUAUUGGGAGCUUUGAAUGCCCUAUACCUACUAUUAAGAUGAAGUAUGAUUGGCUUGUUGGGGAUAUGCACAUCCCCAUUGAGGUAACCUAGUGACUAUUUGAAAAUUCUCCGUUCUUUUUUUCAUGCGAUUCGAAAAAGUUUGUCAAGGAGACUUGAUCAACCUCAUUGACGGAUUUAUUUCGAUGACCAUGGGAUGGAUGAAUCGAGGAGUCACAAACCUCUGUUCCAAGCUUUCACCUUCGGUUGCUUAGAAGAAAAAUGAUAGAUUUAGCUUUAGUUUUCCCUGCUUUCUGCUUUUAACAUCCCGUAGAAAAAUACCCCGAAAAUAAAAGUUCUCCGAAUGCCGUGAAAAUCAAGUAUGAUUUUUUAUGGAAUUUUUGAAAGAUUCUGAGACGGAGAGCUAGUCAGGGGGCUGCACCAGUGGGCCACAAGCCCUGGAGCCGCGGGCACCCCCUGGUCGCGCCUACCAGGCUUUUGGGUCCCACGUGUCCCCCCUCCACUUAUUCUAGCUCCCAUCUGCUUCUCCUACCUCCAGAAAAAAUCGUUUUGCAGCUCAAACCCGUGUUCUUGCUCUUCUUGCUGUGAUUUUCAAUCUCCUUGUGCAAAGCCGCAUUCACCAAACUGUUUUGGGGAAAUUUCUCCUUGGUAUGUGACUCCUCCAUUGGUCCAAUUAGUUUUUGCUCUAGUGCCUUAUACGUCGCGUAUUUUUGCUGCCUUGGUGACCCUAUUCUUGAGCUUUGCAUGCUAAUUUUAGCUGGUCCCAAGUAGUUUUGAUGCGUGAUAUGAUCUCUAGGCACUUGUCGGAGUAGUUGCUAUGAGUUUCGUUGAGCCUUGUUCACUUUUCCUUUGAGUCACUGAAAAUUUUAGAAAAGGAAGAUGUUCAGGAGAAACUAUCAUGGUGGUUCCUCAAGCAAGAGGGGUCCCCGUCUCGCGAUUCGGGAGCCCGAUCCUUACCAACAGAGGAACGCACAGGUACAACCAUGUGAAUGGCCUUGUGAUGAAUUCAUGAUUGAGGCAGGUUCCAAAGACGAGUUUGAUACACUUGUUCACAACGUCGGACUCGAAGAAUUCAUCUCCGAUAAAUGUGAACAGUAUGUUACUCUCACUACCUCUUUUGUUCGUAGAUUCAAAUUUUCAGUUGGCCGUGAUACAUAUGUAUUGUUUGAUCUCUAUGACAAAUCGUAUACCAUGGAUUUAGAGGAUUUCAAUAGAAUUUAAAAGAUACCUGUUUGGGGUAGUCUAAAUGAUCCUCCUAAAUCUUCGGUUAGAGAUUUUUUCUCUAGCAUAACUGUUGGANNNNNNNNNNNNNNNNNNNNNNNNNNNNNNNNNNNNNNNNNNNNNNNNNNNNNNNNNNNNNNNNNNNNNNNNNNNNNNNNNNNNNNNNNNNNNNNNNNNNGGGCGGAGGAUCCUUCCGCGACAACUUCUGGCUUCAGGUGAGGACCCCUCUCCACAUCCCCUCCCCGCCCCAACCCCCGACGACCCUAGCACAACCCCCUCGAUACCGAACGACUGUGGCAGGGUGAGCGGCGAUAAACAACGGCCGAGUACCGAGCGGGCUCUCCUCCCCCGACCCCCUCUCUCUUCUCUACACUCUCGUUGAUCUGCUCCUGGUCGCCCCAAAGCUCACCUUGAUCUGGUUUCUUCUCUCAGAUCAGCCACCGCGAUAAACAGCAAGUUCAGGUGCGGGGUAUUAUGAUCUACCGAGGGAGGGUUUGGUUGGUGCUAAUUGGGUUUCGUCAUUUUUGUGGGGGUAUUAUGAUCUGUCUUAUAGACAUUAAAAAUUGUCAUCCUUGCAGAAAUUAACCCCGAAACUCUUCUUCACUACGUUACUGUUUUCAAUCUCGGCCUAAAUUAUUAGUUGCUGGUGGCAAUAAAACCAAAAUAGUUCAUCUAGCAACAUACUACCAAAUGGUACGGCUAAGAAGUUGAUCCUCCAUUUUUUCUUUCUGGAGAUAGAGGCUUCAACACUAGGAGCCCCAGUGAUAAGAUAAGAACGGGAACAAACUAGGAGCAUACUACCUAAAGAUUGCCCGGAUUACCUAUAUCUUUUCAAAGAUUUAGUCAAUGACUUUGCAACAUAGUAUAUGAGUUCUCCAUUUGUCCCGAAAAUAUAUUCCAUCCCCGUAAUUCAGACAGAAGGGUCAAUCAAUCUGAAGAUGAGGCUGUGCAGAUAGAAAAACACAGAGAGACAUCAUCUUGUGUAGUGUUUGCUUAUGUCCCUAAUAAGAUUCUCUGAAUGAACAAGGAAAGUAAGAGACAAUGGGGGGGGGGGGGGGGGGGAAAAAUAAACUUUUCCUAUACAUAGUUAUUAAUCCUAGACAGGUCUGCCGCAACUGGAUGAUAAUGGCACUUCGCUGAAGGUUCAUCUUCUCUAUUUUUAAAUGGAAUUUUAGUGCCAAAUUUAUAGGAAAUGUAUUUAUGAGUUCAGAGUCAUUAUGAAAAAAAUAUACAUGUAAAGUCUACCAUGGGGCAAUGGAUGUCAAUGUAAUUUCAGUUUUCUUUUUUUACGAGAUGGAAUUUAGUGUUCUUGACCACUACAUGUUCAUUAUAAAUAGUAUUGUAGUUUGAUUAGUUGACUCCGUGUGAGGGCAUAUUUUAUGCCUAAGUAAUUUUGGUGAUUAAUGACAGUACCGCAAAGGACUAAUCGUGUGUGUUGAGAUUUUAGAGAACACAUGUCAACGUCACAAGACGACUCGCCCCUCCUUCCAUGGAACAGAAGCACGGUGUACACUACGAUUCUCUUUCUUUGAGUCAUAGGAACGCCGUACUAUUAAGAGGGGACCCGUAGUGGAAAGGUUUGGGUGGAAUCAAUUUUGCAUGCACACACUUUAUCUCCUUUUCCUUUCCCUGCAAAUUUGGAGUGGCUCCCGCCUAUGGUUUAUCUCCUCUAAGCAAAAAGGUCUCCCAGCGGUAGUGCCGCUGUCCCUAGCGGAAGUACCGCAGGAACUGGCAGAAGUACCGCUGGAACUGGCGGUAGUACCGCCCCUGGUCAGCGGUAGAACCGCUCCAGGAACUUAGUACCGCCAUCCUAGCGGUUGUACUUCGCCGGACUUUUUGCGAAUACUUUCUUGGCGGUGGUUGGCCUGGUAGUGCAUCUGCACUACGAGGGGCCCAGCGGUAGUACCGCUGCAGCCAGCGGUAGUACCGCCGGAGUCCCAGCGGUAGUACCGCUGCAGCCAGCGGUAGUACCACGGGAGCUCUAGCGGUAGUACCGCUGCAGCCAGCGGUAGUACCGCUAGGCUCGGGUUGUGAGUGGGAAAAUGGUUGGAUCUUUCCCCCCACUACAUAAGGGGUUCUUCUUGCUCUAGAACCCUACCUUUGACCCUCCCAAGCUCCAUUGUUUCUCCCUAAGCUCUAAAGUGCCCGAUCUCUCUCCCUAGCCAAUCAAACUUGUUGAUUCUUUAGGGAUUGGUUGAGAAGGCCUAGAUCUACACUUCCACCAAGAGAAAAGUUGAUUCCCCCACCAAUCCCUUGCGAAUCUUGUUACUCUUGGGUGUUUGAGCACCCUAGACGGUUGAAGUCACCUCAGAGCCACAUUCCAUUGUGGUGAAGCUUCGUGGUCUUGUUGGGNNNNNNNNNNNNNNNNNNNNNNNNNNNNNNNNNNNNNNNNNNNNNNNNNNNNNNNNNNNNNNNNNNNNNNNNNNNNNNNNNNNNNNNNNNNNNNNNNNNNGUAUUUGUUCCUAUGACCAUGAGAUCAUAUAACUCACUAACACCGGAGGAAUACUUUGUGUGUAUCAAACGUUGCAACGUAACUGGGUGACUAUAAAGAUGCUCUACAAGUAUCUCCGAAGGUGUUCGUUGAGUUAGUAUGGAUCAAGACUGGGAUUUGUCACUCCGUGUGACGGAGAGGUAUCUCGGGGCCCACUCGGUAAUACAACAUCACACACAAGCCUUGCAAGCAAUNGGCCCACUCGGUAAUACAACAUCACACACAAGCCUUGCAAGCAAUGUGACUUAGUGUAAGUUGCGGGAUCUUGUAUUACGGAACGAGUAAAGAGACUUGCCGGUAAACGAGAUUGAAAUAGGCAUGCGGAUACUGACGAUCGAAUCUCGGGCAAGUAACAUACCGAAGGACAAAGGGAAUGACAUACGGGAUUAUAUGAAUCCUUGGCACUAAGGUUCAAACGAUAAGAUCUUCGUAGAAUAUGUAGGAUCAAAUAUGGGCAUCCAGGUCCCGGUAUUGGAUAUUGACCGAGGAGUCUCUCGGGUCAUGUCUACAUAGUUCUCGAACCCGCAGGGUCUGCACACUUAAGGUUCAACGUUGUUUUAUGCGUAUUUGAGUUAUAUGGUUGGUAAUCGAAUGUUGUUCGGAGUCCCGGAUGAGAUCACGGACGUCACGAGGGUUUCCGGAAUGGUCCGGAAACGAAGAUUGAUAUAUAGUAUGACCUCAUUUGAUUACCGGAAGGUUUUCGGAGUUACCGAGAAUGUACCGGGAAUGACGAAUGGGUUCCGGGAGUUCACCGGGGGGGCAACCCACCCCGGGGGAAGCCCAUAGGCCUUGGGGGUGGCACACCAGCCCUUAGUGGGCUGUUGGGACAGCCCAAGAAGGCCCUAUGCGCCAUAGGAAGAAAAUCAAAGAGAAAAGAAAAAAAAGGAGGAGGUGGGAAAGGGAAGAAGGACUCCACCCACCAAACCAAGUUGGACUCGGUUUGGGGGGGGAGACCUUCCCCCCUUUGCUUGGCCGACCCCCUUGGGGCUCCUUGAGCCCCAAGGCAAGGCUCCCCCUCUUCCCCCUAUAUAUACGGAGGUUUUAGGGCUGAUUUGAGACGACUUUUCCUCGGCAGCCCGACCACAUACCUCCACGGUUUUUCCUAUAGAUCGCGUUUCUGCGGAGCUCGGGCGGAGCCCUGCUGAGACAAGAUCAUCACCAACCUCUGGAGCGUCGUCACGCUGCCGGAGAACUCUUCUACCUAUCCGUCUCUCUUGCUAGAUCAAGAAGGCCGAGAUCAUCGUCGAGCUGUACGUGUGCUGAACGCGGAGGUGCCGUCCGUUGGGCACUAGAUCGUGGGACUGAUCGCGGGACGGUUCGCGGGGCGGAUCGAGGGACAUGAGGACGUUCUACUACAUCAACCGUGUUCACUAACGCUUCUGCUGUAUGGUCUACAAGGGUACGUAGAUCACACAUCCCCUCUCGUAGAUGAACAUCACCAUGAUAGGUCUUCAUGCGUGUAGGAUUAUUUUUUCCCAUGUGACGUUCCCCAACAAUUAACAGGGACGGCAUAUACUGCAACGGCCUCGUUAAGUGUUAACGGCAGGCGUCUUCUCUUUGCCGUCUGUCGUCCCCCCCCCCUUUGCCAUGUGGGGGUAGACGGCAAAGAGGGGAGAGAGGGGGGCUGAUUCACCGCUUUGCCGUCUGUCCACCCCCCCCCCCCUUUGCCAUGUGGGGGCAGACGGCAAAGAGGGGAAACGGAGGGGGAAGAUUCCCCCCUUUGUCGUCUGCCCACCCCCCCUUUGACAUGUGGGGGCAGACGACAAAGAGGGGAGACAGAGGGGGCAGAUUCCCUCCUUUGCCCUUUGCCGUCUGCCCACCCCCCUUUGCCAUGUGGGGGCAGACGGCAAAGAGGGGAACCUGCCCCAUUUUAAUUUAUUUUUUAUUAUAUCNNNNNNNNNNNNNNNNNNNNNNNNNNNNNNNNNNNNNNNNNNNNNNNNNNNNNNNNNNNNNNNNNNNNNNNNNNNNNNNNNNNNNNNNNNNNNNNNNNNNAAGUUAUCAAAUUCAUCCAGGCAUAAGCUAGCAGGUUUAUCAAAAGGAAUAUCACUCUCAUUGAGUCUACAAAGAGAAUUUACCUCUACUACCUGUGUCGGGUUAUCAAGACCACAGGUCUCUUCGAUAGGUGGUAGAUUUUUGACAUCUUCAAAUUUAAUGCCUUUCUCUUUCAUAGAUUUCUUAGCUUCUUGCAUAUCUUCAGGACUGAGGAAUAGGAUACCUCUUUUCUUAGGAGUUGGCUUCGGAGGUGGUCCGGGAAUAGUCCAAGCAUUCUCAUUGCACAAGAUAUUAUUCAAUAGGNGCAUUCUCAUUGCACAAGAUAUUAUUCAAUAGGAUCUCAGCUUGUUCUACAGUUUGUUCCCUGAAAACACAACUGGCACAACUAUCUAGGUGGUCUCUAGAAGCAUCAGUUAGUCCAUUAUAGAAGAUAUCCAGUAUUUCAUUGUUUUCAAGAGGGUGAUCAGGCAAAGCAUUCAACAGCUGGACAAGCCUCCCCCAAGCUUGUGGGAGACUCUCUUCUUCAACUUGCGCAAAGUUAUGUAUUUCCUACAAGGCAGCUUUUGCUUCUUAUGGGCAGGAAAAUAUUUCUCCCAGAAGUAGUAGAUCGUAUCCUGGGGACUACGCACACAACCAGGAGCAAGAGAAGUGGACCAAGUCUUAGCAUCAUCCUUUAGUGAGAAAGGAAACAACUUAAGGAUAUAGUAGUGAAAUAUCUUUUCCUCACUCGUGAAUAGGGUGGCUAUAUCGUGUAGCUUAGUAAGAUGUGCUACAACCAUUUCGGACUCAUAACCAUGAAAAGGAUCAGAUUCGACCAAAGUGAUUAACUCAGGGUCGAUAGAGAAUUCGUAAUCCUUAUCGGUCACAAAGAUAGGCGAAGUAGCAAACUUCGGGUCGUAUUUCAUCCUAGCGUUCAAAGAUUUUUCUUUCCACUUGCGCAGUAAAUUCUCAACAUCAUAGCUAUCCUUACACGCAAGAAAGUCCGCAACUAUCUCUCCCUCAAUAUCAUAACCCUCAGGCAUAUCAGGCAAUUCAUAUCUAGCAGAGCUAGUUCUAACAGGCGAAAUAGCAGGUUCUACUUCAAUAAUCUCAGCAGUUUCAGAAGUAUCAUCACAUCUAGCAGCAACUCUAGCAAUUUGUGCAUCAAGGAAUGCACCUAGUGGCAAAGCAGUAUCAAGCAAAGAAUCAUCACAAGCAUCAUGGACAUCAGAAGUAGCAUCAUCAAGCACAGGCGACACAUCAAAAUUUCUAGCAGGACGUGGUGUCGCAAACUUACUCAUAACUGAAGGUGGAUCAAGUGCACAACUAGAUGGUAGUUCCUUACAUGUCCUCGUAGUUGAGGGCAAGACUUUAGUUUUUGGAUCUCUCGGAUUCCUCAUAGUGAUCAGCAGACGUAAAUCCCAAGUGACUCAGAGAAUAGAGCUAUGCUUCCCCGGCAACAGCGCCAGAAAAUAGUCUUGAUAACCCACAAGUAUAGGGGAUCGCAACAGUUUUCGAGGGUAGAGUAUUCAACCCAAAUUUGUUGAUUCGACACAAGGGGGAGCCAAAGAAUAUUCUCAAGUAUUAGCAGUUGAGUUGUCAAUUCAACCACACCUGAAAGACUUAGUAUCUGCAGCAAAGUAUCAGUAGAAAAGUAGUGUGAUAGCAACAGUAGCAACGGGAAUAGUAGCAGCAGUGACAGCAGUAGCGAUAGAGUAAUAAUAGCAGCAGUGACAACAGUAGUGACAGAGAAACAGUAGCAGCAGUGACAACAGUAGCGACAGAGUAACAGUAGCAGCAGCGACAACAAUAGCGGCAAAGUGACGUAGCAAGGACCAGUAGAAAAAACUCAUAGGCAUUGGAUCGGUGAUGGAUAAUUAUGCCGGAUGAUAUUCAUCAUGCAACAGUUAUAACACGGAGAGAUAAGUAACUAGCUCUAGUUCAUCAAUGUAAUGUAGGCAUGUAUUCUGUAUAUAGUCAUACGUGCUUAUGAAAAGAACUUGCAUGACAUCUAUUGUCCAUCCCUCCCGUGGCAGCGGGGUCCUAAUGGAAACUACGUGAUAUUAAGGUUCUCCUUUUAAUAGAGAACCGAAACAACGCAUUAACACUUGGUGAAUACAUGAACUCCUCAUACUAUGGCCAUCUCCGGGAGUGGUUCCGGCUAUUGUCACUCCGGGGUUGCCGGGUCAUAACACAUAGCAGGUGACUACAACUUUCAAGAUAGGAUCUAGAACACACAUAUAUUGACGAGAACAUAAUAGGUUCAGAUCUGAAAUCAUGGCACUAGGGCCCUACUGACAAGCAUUAAGCAUGGCAAAGUAGUAUCAACAUCAAUCUCAGAACAUAGUGGAUACUAGGGAUCAAUCCCCAUCAAAACUAACUCGAUUACAAGAUAGAUCUCAUCCAACCCAUCACCGUCCAGCAAGCCUACGAUUAUAUUNNNNNNNNNNNNNNNNNNNNNNNNNNNNNNNNNNNNNNNNNNNNNNNNNNNNNNNNNNNNNNNNNNNNNNNNNNNNNNNNNNNNNNNNNNNNNNNNNNNNAGUCACAACCCUCUGUUCCAAACCUUUACCUUCCGUUGCUUAGAAGAAAAAUGAUAUAUUUAGCUUAAGUUUUCCCUGUUUUGUUCUUCUUGCGUCCCGUAGAAAAGUGUCCCAAAAAUAAAAGUUCUCCGAAUGUCCUGAAAAUCAAGUAUGAUUUUUCUGGAAUUUUUGAAAAAUUCUGAGACAGAGAGCUAGUCAGGGGGAUACACUAGUGGGCCACAAGCCCUGCAGGCGCGGGCACCCCCUGGUCGCGCCUACCACGCUUGUCGGGCCCACGUGUCACCCCUCCACUUAUUCCAGCUCCCAUCUCCUUCUCCUACCUCCAGAAAAAUUCAUUCUACAACUCAAACCCGUGUUCUUGCUCUNUGUCGGGCCCACGUGUCACCCCUCCACUUAUUCCAGCUCCCAUCUCCUUCUCCUACCUCCAGAAAAAUUCAUUCUACAACUCAAACCCGUGUUCUUGCUCUUCUUGCUGCGAUUUUCGAUCUCCUUGUGCAAAGCCCCAUUCAGCAAAAUGUUAUGGGGAAAUUGCUCCUUGGUAUGUGACUCCUCCAUUGGUCCAAUUAGUUUUUACUCUAGUGCCUUAUUCGUUGCGUAUUUUUGCUUCCUUGGUGACCCUUUUCUUGAGCUUUGCAUGCUAAUUUUAGCUGGUCCCAAGUAGUAUUGAUGCGUGAUAUGGCCUCUUGGCACUUGUCGGGGUAGUUUCUACGAGUUUCGUUGAGCCUUGUUCACUCCUUUGAGUUACUGAAUUUUUUUAGAAAAGGAAGAUGUUCAGGAGAAACUAUCAUGGUGGUUCCUCAAGCAAGAGGGGUCCCCGUCUCGCGAUACGGGAACCCGAUCCUUACCAACCGAGGAAUGCACAGGUACAACCAUGUUAAUGGCCUUCUGAUGAAUUCAUGAUUGAUGCAGGUUUUAAAGACGAGUUUGAUACACUUGUUCACAAUGUUGGACUUGAGAGNNNNNNNNNNNNNNNNNNNNNNNNNNNNNNNNNNNNNNNNNNNNNNNNNNNNNNNNNNNNNNNNNNNNNNNNNNNNNNNNNNNNNNNNNNNNNNNNNNNNAACCACUCUAAUCAGCUAAUGACGAGUUUCGUACGAAGGGAGUUUUCAAGUAUGCGAUGGAAGAUGAUGAAAGAAGAUCCAGUAGUGUCAAGCGCUCAAGCUUGGGGAUGCCCCCAUGCACCCCAAGAAAUAUUCAAGGAGACUCAAGUGUCUAAGCUUGGGUAUGCCCCCGUGCAUCCCCUUCUCCAUCAACAAUCAUCAGUUCGUCCUUCUUCAUGCUAUAUUUUUAUCACUUCAUUUGUUAUGUGCUAUGCUUGGAGCGNAGCAUCUAAGCUUGGGGAUGCCCCCGUGCAUCCCUUUCUCUAUCAACAAUCAUCAGUUCGUCCAUCUCCAUGCUAUAUUUUUAUCACUUCAUAUGUUAUGUGCUAUACUUGGAGCGUCCCGCUCUUUACUUUUUACUUUGUUUUAGUUUUUCUUGCUGGUCAUAACAAGUACGAACCUAGCCUACUGCUACUGCAACAAAAGAACUUCCAACGGCGCCAGAAACACGUGUUGACGGGAGACUAUUCUUGUCUUGAUACUCCUCAGCAACGGCACCAGGAAUCCUUCUGCUAUGGCUAUGCCUUUAGGGACUUCCUAGGCAAAUAUGCAAAGGAUUCCCCCGUGGCCUUGGAGCCUUGCGUUGGUGUUCCCUCGAAGCGGAAAGGGUGAUGUAGCACAGCGGUGGUAAGUAUUUACCUCGGUUUUGAGAACCAAGGUAUCGAUCCAGUGAAGGAGUAUCACAAGUACCUGCACAAACACAAAAAGCUUGCUCCCAACGCUAUGAAGGGGUUGUCAAUCCCUUAUAGAUUGUUUAGCAAGUGAGAACCGAAAGGAACAAAGUAAUGAAGCAAAGUGAAAGCGAAACUGGAAACGAUAGGUGUGAAUAGACCCGGGGGCCAUAGUGUUUACUAGUGGCUUCUCUCAUGAAAGCAAGUAGACGGUGGGUGAACAAAUUACUGUCGAGCAAUUGAUAGAACCGUGCAAAGUCGUGAUGUCAUCUAUGGCAAUUAUUAUAUCUAUAAGCAUCACGUCCAAAACAAGUAGANNNNNNNNNNNNNNNNNNNNNNNNNNNNNNNNNNNNNNNNNNNNNNNNNNNNNNNNNNNNNNNNNNNNNNNNNNNNNNNNNNNNNNNNNNNNNNNNNNNNAUUAUAUAUAGGGUAAUUUAGUUUGUUUAUUUGGUUAUAUUAUUAGGCUAAUUAGGUUAGUUAGUUAGGUUAGUGCGUUGGACGAGCUCCGCCCUUGCGUUUGUUGGUGGGAUUAGGACCUACCUUUACCUAUUAGCGUGUAGGUUGCAUGGACGUAAUAAAACUGACAAACUUGAUUAGCGUAUGAAUAUAGAUGAUGAAUUAUAUAUUUAUUUCUUGUGCCCCCAUAGGUAGCUAGGCAACAUGAGUGAUCGUGCUUGGAUGUACACUAGUCACCCGAGUUGAGACAAGUCGCUAAUGGUUUUGACUAUAAGGUCCGUUCAUUUGACAAAUACAACAUCAACGNCAACGGGUAUCACUUUCGUACCUUUGGCAAAGAGCUAUCUAUGCCCGACCUAAAGUCUGCAAAUUGUUCUGUCUCUGCUAUCGGCGAAGGAGACACCGAGUAUUAUGGAAGAGUUGAAGCAAUUUAUGAACUUCUAUUCUAUGGUGAAAACCCACCGACCGUCGUAGUCUUCAAAUGUUAUUGGUUUGAGCCGAGGGAGACUAGAAGGACUCAUGAACAUAUAGGACUAGUCGAAAUCAACCAAAACACCCACUUAGAUGUUCCCGAUAUCUAUAUUACGGCUCAACAGGCGACACAAGUUUUCUAUCUACCGUGGGCCUGCCAAACUGAUCCAAAUCUCAAAGGUUGGGAUGUCGUUUAUGAAGUGCCACCACAUUUUAGACCACCUACCCUCAAUGAAGAGGAUUACGAACCUCACAUUAACCCAGACACAUAUGAAGGAGAAUUCUUCCAAGAAACAUGUAUGUCCAAGAAACGUUUCAAGAACCGCUCUACUUCACCCCAAAACAUUGAAGUAGACAGCGACAGUGAAUCCGUCUUAACCCCUGAGCCCGAACAGGAAGAGCUGGAAGAAGAAGAGGUUACUGCUGCGGAUGACCUGUCACUUCUUGACCGAUUACAUAAUGGUGGCCUUCCACAUGUUCUUCGUGAUAGUGAUGAUGAUGAUGCAUAUAUUGAUGAUAGUGAUGAUCAUGAUGCAUUUAUUGACCCCGAAGCAUAUAUAGACGAGCAUGAUUGUUAUUAGUUCAUGUCAGGUAUUCAACUAUUAUACUAUAUAUAAAUUUUGAGUUCAUGUUAGGUAUUCAAUUUUUAUUAGUCAUGUUGGUAUUUAUGACGAUGAUACACUUAAAUUAUAUACAUUUCAUUAGUCCUGUUGGUAUUUAUGUUGUACUAAUUUCAUUUACUCUUUGUCAUGACAGGUGUUGAAAGAUGGUGGGAAAGGGUCGAAAGCACUCCGCGGCUCCUUCUUCGUCGGCGGGUGAUGGGAUGGGUACUUCCAUUCCUGCCUCGCCUCUUCGGAGGGUGUUGCUCUCUACUAUGCAAGGAGCGCCCCCCGUGAGAGGAGGUCGACCCCCCGCGAAGCCGAGAGGCACUAAAGGUACACGUUGUAUUCAUGUUGGUAUUUAUGUUGUACUCAUGUUGUAUGCAUAUUGAUAUUUAUAUACAUUUUAUUACUCACGUUGGUAUUUAUGUUGUACUAAAGGUACACGUGGCCGCGGGAGAGGUAGGGCGGUGGCUGCCACGCCUUCUGAGGUGGCGGCUACACGGUCUCCGCCACCACCCCAAGCUGAUUCACCUGAGCACAGGACUUCUAGGGUGGAUUUGUCUGAGGUGGAGGCUACACGGUCUCUGGUUCACGAGCCUCAGGUCGAUGAGCCUUCGACCCACGAGACUCGUGUCCCAUGGGCUUCAUUCCAGGCGACUCCGGAGCAAAGCAGGGAUGAGGGUACGUCCCAAGAGACCCAGUGGGAUACCUGGGCUGAGCCAAGUGGCCAUGAUGGUAGCGACGAGGAGCUGGGUGAGGGGGCUACCGUCUACCAGCAUGGUAGUUCGGGGCUCACGCUCGUGCCAGCGACCCCUGAGAAGAGGUGGUCGAUUAGGCCAAAUGGGGACAACUAAGUUAAUUUACUCUUAUUUAACCUUUUGCCUUCGCGUUUUCUCAAAUAUCUAAUGUUUUGGCUUUAAUUUGUCAUACUGUAGGGGGUGGAUUGUUGCCAAGGGUGUCCGCAAGCCCAACAACGUCCUUGGUGUUCUUUGCCGUAAAAACUUCCCAGGGUUUGUUACGUUGCUCGGUCGGGAGUGAGAGGUAGGAAUGACCUGGGAGCACUACUUGGGUGCCCCGGCCCCGCCGGAGGUGGAGAUCGACGGUGUUUUGUGCGACACGAGGGCGGACAUGGUGAUCCGAAAGUUCUGGGUAAUUUCUCCUUCACAAAAUUAUAAAUCAACCAUAGCUAUUUAUUGUACUAAUCAGUGUUGUCUCGUUUGCAGACCUACUAUAGGUGUGAGGAGGGAUACAAGGAGGACGCGACAAAGUUUAUCGAAACCGAAUGUCGCCCCUACUUCAAAACUUUCGGCACGAGGCUCGGGUGCAUGCUGUUCGAGACUACUAUGCCACGCGGCGUAUUAGGCUUGACAAGGCGAAGUGCCGUGAUGCUAAGAUGGAGAAGGAGCAUUACAUGAAGGUAAUUACAUAUUAUUAAGGCUUUGUAGUUAGUUUCCUUGAUUUGGUUCUUACGCGCUCAAAUUUCUCUUUAUUAACUUAGGUGCCCCCGAGAUGGUGUGUGGAUAAGAUGGAUUGUUGGGAGGCCUUGGUGGAUCAGUGGUGCUCCGAAACGUGGGAGGCCAGCCACAACAACGCCAAGGAGAGGCGUGGCAAAAUGGUUGGCGUGCCACACCAUCAAGGGGGCGUCAACUUAAUCCAAUUUGGCGAGAACUGGGUAUGUGGUUUGCUUCAUGCCUCAUGCAAUUCAUUCUUAAUGCUAUCUUGAGCCUUUACUAAUACAAUUUUCCUCUCUCUCUCUUUUAGGCGCGUCACAAUAAGACGGAGGCGCCACAGAUGUACGACCUGUAUGCGAUGGCCCAUACUGCCUCGUACAAGAAGGUCAAGGCAUUCUCUGAUCUAACCUCGAGCAUCCAGAAAACUUCACCAAAAUCUCCUCCCACCACAAGCUCGUGAAGUACAGAGAUCACGGGAAAGCGAGGAAGGGGAGGACUUUAACCCGAGCGAGGGGCCUAUUGAUCCAGAGCUGGUGAUGAUAGCUGGCAACGGGAGGCCCCAUGGCUCGAUCGCCAUUGGAGACGGCCUUAUACGUUGUCCUAGCACUCUUCGGCAGAUAAAGGCACGCCAAACGAGCUCUUGUCCGGAGAUAACACGUCGUCCACGGCCAGUCGAGCUCGCCAUCGAGGUUAGUUUAAUGGACUCAACCAUCUUUCCGCAUUAUGUUGUGCGUUGGAACCAAUAUGAUUACAUUGCUAACAAAGAGUUGUGUUGCAGGCUGCUAUUCAGAAAGAGAGAGAGGCAAUGCAGGCGGCUAUGGCGGAGAACGAUAAGGAAAUUAGGGAGCUGGAGGAGAGGACGACUGCAUUGGUGGAGGCGGAGAGGGCACGGAAUGAUGCGUCUAACAGAGCCAUAUACGAUCUCUUCGUGGUAAGUUUCUUCUUCAUGUUAUUUCAAAUCUUGCAUUUGAAUGUCCGUUUCAUUAAUAAAUAAAAAGUUUGACUUGUCGAAACCAAAUGUACAGUCUAUGUGCGAGAAGAACGGCCAAGUCCCUCCGCCGAUGCCAGUCAUUAACGUGGCGGGGACGGUGAGUUUCAUUUGAGUGUAGUGAUCUUAAGAGUGUCCUGAUGCUAACUACACAUUGAAAUGUUGUUUGGUGCAGAAUAUCUCCCGAUACGCAUUGCACGACCCUUCUACAGUCGAGCCUUCUCCAGGGCAGCCUUCUCCAGGUGAAACAAGCCAGAGCCACCGUGCUUCACCGCUGUGAUGACGAUAAUGGUAUGUUAUUUCUAGUGUUUUAAUAAAAAAUAGCUAGACUUUCAUCUAAAUGACAUAAUUAGCUUAGUUAGCUCCAAGAAAGGCUAAAUUGGCUAAUUAUCCUACGAAAUGACAUAAUUAGCUUAGUUAGCUCCAAAAUGACCUAUUUAAUAAAAANNNNNNNNNNNNNNNNNNNNNNNNNNNNNNNNNNNNNNNNNNNNNNNNNNNNNNNNNNNNNNNNNNNNNNNNNNNNNNNNNNNNNNNNNNNNNNNNNNNNUACAAUAUUAGAAACGCCACAGAGCUCCCACUCACUUUCUUGUAAAUACAAGAUUCUCCAACCACUUGUAUAAACCCAAAUGCUUUGAUCACGUCAUCAAAGCGUUUGUUCCAACUCCAAGAUGCUUGCACCAGUCCAUAAAUGGAUCGCUGGAGCUUGCACACCUUGUUAGCAUUCUUAGGAUCGACAAAACCUUCGGGUUGCAUCAUAUACAAUUCUUCCUUAAGGAAACCGUUAAGGAACGCCGUUUUGACAUCCAUCUGCCAGAUUUCAUAAUCGAAAAAUGCAGCUAUUGCUAACAUGAUUCUGACGGACUUAAGCAUCGCUACGGGUGAGAAUGUCUCAUCGUAGUCAACUCCUUGAACUUGUGAAAAACCCUUUGCCACAAGUCGAGCUUUAUAAACGGUCACAUUGCCGUCAGCGUCCGUCUUCCUCUUAAAGAUCCAUUUGUUCUGAAUAGCCUUGCGGCCCUCAGGCAGUACUUCCAAAGUCCACACUUUGUUCUCAUACAUGGAUCCUAUCUCGGAUUUCAUGGCUUCUAGCCAUUUGUUGGAAUCUGGGCCCACCAUUGCUUCUUCAUAAUUUGCAGGUUCAUUGUUGUCCAACAACAUGAUUGAUAAGACGGGAUUACCGUACCACUCCGGAGCAGCACGUGGUCUCGUCGACCUGCGUGGUUCGACAGAAACUUGAACCGGAGUUUCAUGAUCUUUAUCAUUAACUUCCUCCUCAACCGGCGUCGCAACGACAGCGGUUUCCCCUUGCGCUGCGCCACCAUCCAGAGGGAUGAGAGGUUCGAAAACCUCGUCAAGUUCUAUCUUCCUCCCACUCAAUUCUCUCGAGAGAAACUCCUUCUCGAGAAAAGCUCCGUUUUUAGCAACAAACACUUUGCCCUCGGAUUUGAGAUAGAAGGUGUACCCAACUGUCUCUUUUGGGUAACCUAUGAAGACGCACCUUUCCACUUUGGGUUCCAGCUUUUUAUGCUGAAGCUUUUUGACAUAAGCAUCACAUCCCCAAACUUUAAGUAACGACAACUUUAGCCUUUUGCCAUACCACAGUUCGUAUGGUGUCGUCUCAACGGAUUUUGAUGGUGCCCUAUUUAAAGUGAAUGCAGCUGUUUCUAAUGCAUAACCCCAAAACGAUAACGGCAAAUCGGUAAGAGACAUCAUAGAUCGCACCAUCUCUAAUAAAGUACGAUUACAACGUUCGGACACACCAUUACGCUGUGGUGUUCCAGGCGGUGUCAACUGUGAAACAAUUCCACAUUGUCUUAAGUGAGCACCAAACUCAAAACUCAGAUAUUCACCCCCACGAUCAGACCGUAGGAACUUGAUCUUCUUGUUACGAUGAUUUUCAACUUCACUCUGAAAUUGCUUGAACUUUUCAAAUGUUUCAGACUUGUGCUUCAUUAAGUAGACAUAACCAUAUCUACUCAAAUCGUCAGUGAAGGUGAGAAAAUAACGAUGUCCGCCGCGUGCCUCUACGCUCAUCGGACCACACACAUCGGUAUGUAUGAUUUCCAACAAGUCACUUGCACGCUCCAUUGUUCCGAAGAACGGAGUUUUAGUCAUCUUGCCCAUGAGGCAUGGUUCGCACGUGUCAAGUGAAUCAAAGUCAAGUGACUCCAAAAGUCCAUCGGCAUGGAGUUUCUUCAUGCGCUUUACACCAAUAUGACCUAAGCGGCAGUGCCACAAAAAUAUGGCGCUAUCAUUGUUAACUCUAACUCUUUUGGUCUCAAUGUUAUGUAUGUGUGUAUCGCUAUCAAGAUUCAAUAUGAACAAUCCUCUCACAUUGGGUGCAUGACCAUAAAAGAUGUUACUCAUAGAAAUAGAACAACCAUUAUUCUUUGACUUAAAAGAGUAACCGUCUCGCAAUAAACAAGAUCCAGAUAUAAUGUUCAUGCUCAACGCAGGCACUAAAUAACAAUGAUUCAAGUUCAUAACUAAUCCUGAUGGUAACUGAAGUGAAACUGUGCCGACGGCGAUUGCAUCAACCUUGGAACCAUUUCCUACACGCAUCGUCACUUCAUCUUUCGCCAGCCUUCGUCUAUUCCGCAGUUCCUGUUUCGAGUUGCAAAUAUGAGCAACAGAACCGGUAUCGAAUACCCAGGCACUACUACGAGAGCCGGUUAUGUACACAUCAAUAACAUGUAUAUCAAAUAUACCUGAUUUUUCUUUGGCCGCCUUCUUAUCUGCCAGAUACUUGGGGUAAUUGCGCUUCCAGUGACCCAUACCCUUGCAAUAGUAACACUCUGUUUCAGGCUUAGGUCCAGCUUUGAGUUUCUUCGUCGGAUUGGCAACAGGCUUGCCGCUCUUCUUUGAAUUACCCUUCUUGCCUUUGCCGUUUCUCUUGAAACUAGUGGUCUUAUUCACCAUCAACACUUGAUGCUCUUUACGGAGUUCAGACUCUGCGACUUUCAGCAUCGCAAACAACUCGCCGGGAGACUUGUUCAUCCCUUGCAUGUUGUAGUUCAACACAAAGCCUUUAUAGCUUGGCGGCAGUGAUUGAAGGAUUCUGUCAGUGAUAGCCUCUUGCGGGAGUUCAAUCCCCAGCUCAGCUAGACGGUUUGAGUACCCAGACAUUUUGAGCACAUGUUCACUGACAGACGAGUUCUCCUCCAUCUUGCAAGCAUAGAAUUUAUCGGAGGUCUCAUACCUCUCGAUCCGGGCGUUCUUCUGAAAGAUAAACUUCAACUCCUGGAACAUCUCAAAUGCUCCAUGACGCUAAAAGCGACGUUGAAGUCCCGGUUCUAAGCCAUACAAGACUGCACAUUGAACUACUGAGUAGUCCUCCUUACGUGCUAACCAAGCGUUCUUAACAUCCUGAUCAGCCGUAGCGGGUGGUUCAUCUCCUAGCGCAGCAUUAAGGACAUAAUCCUUCUUCCCAGCUUGUAAGAUUAGCUUAAGAUUACGAGCCCAGUCUACAAAGUUGCUUCCAUCAUCUUUCAACUUAGCUUUCUCUAGGAACGUAUUAAAAUUCAGGGUGACUGUCGUGUGAGCCAUGAUCUACAACACAAAUAUAUUCAAAGUGGACUUAGACUAUGUUCAAGAUAAUUAGAGUUUAACUUAAUCAAAUGAUUCGCUAAACUCCCACUCAAAAAAGUACAUCUCUCUAGUCAUUUGAGUGGUUCAUGAUCCACUUACACUAGCUCAAGUCCGAUCAUCACGUGAGUUGAGCAUAGUUUCAGUGGUAAGCAUCCCUAUGCUAAUCAUAUCAUAUAUAUGAUUCAUGAUCGACCUUUCGGUCUCAUGUGUUCCAAGGCCAUGUCUGCACAUGCUAGGCUCGUCAAGCUUAACCCGAGUGUUCCGCGUGCGCAACUAUUUUGCACCCGUUGUAUGUGAACGUUGAGUCUAUCACACCCGAUCAUCACGUGGUGUCUCGAAACGACGAACUGUAGCAAGGUGCACAGUCGGGGAGAACACAAUUUCGUCUUGAAAUUUUAGUGAGAGAUCACCUCAUAAUGCUACCGUCGUUCUAAGCAAAAUAAGGUGCAUAAAAGGAUUAACAUCACAUGCAAUUCAUAAGUGACAUGAUAUGGCCAUCAUCACGUGCUCCUUGAUCUCCAUCACCAAAGCACCGGCACGAUCUUCUUGUCACCGGCGCCGCACCAUGAUCUCCAUCAACGUGUCGCCAUCGGGGUUGUCGUGCUACUCAUGCUAUUACUACUAAAGCUACAUCCUAGCAAAAUAGUAAACGCAUCUGCAAGCACAAACGUUAGUAUAAAGACAACCCUAUGGCUCCUGCCGGUUGCCGUACCAUCGACGUGCAAGUCGAUAUUAUCUAUUACAACAUGAUCAUCUCAUACAUCCAAUAUAUCACAUCACAUCGUUGGCCAUAUCACAUCACAAGCAUACCCUGCAAAAACAAGUUAGACGUCCUCUAAUUUUGUUGUUGCAUGUUUUACGUGGUGACCAUGGGUAUCUAGUAGGAUCGCAUCUUACUUACGCAAACACCACAACGGAGAUAUAUGAGUUGUUAUUUAACCUCAUCCAAGGACCUCCUCGGUCAAAUCCGAUUCAACUAAAGUUGGAGAAACUGAUACUUGCCAGUCAUCUUUGAGCAACGGGGUUACUCGUAGCGAUGAAACCAGUCUCUUGUAAGCGUACGAGUAAUGUCGGUCCAAGCCGCUUCAAUCCAACAAUGCCGCGGAAUCAAGAAAAGACUAAGGAGGGCAGCAAAACGCACAUCACUGCCCACAAAAACUUUUGUGUUCUACUCGAGAAGACAUCUACGCAUGAACCUAGCUCAUGAUGCCACUGUUGGGGAACGUCGCAUGGGAAAAAAAAAUUCCUACGCGCACGAAGACCUAUCAUGGUGAUGUCCAUCUACGAGAGGGGAUGUGUGAUCUACGUACCCUUGUAGACCGUACAACAGAAGCGUUAGUGAACGCGGUUGAUGUAGUGGAACGUCCUCACGUCCCUAGAUCCUCCCCGCGAACCGUCCCGCGAUCAGUCCCACGAUCUAGUGCCGAACGGACGGCACCUCCGCGUUCAGCACACGUACAGCUCGACGAUGAUCUCGGCCUUCUUGAUCCAGCAAGAGAGACAGAGAGGUAGAAGAGUUCUCCAGCAGCGUGACGGCGCUCCAGAGGUUGGUGAUGAUCUUGUAUCAGCAGGGCUCCGCCCGAGCUCCGCAGAAACGCGAUCUAGAGGAAAAACCGUGGAGGUAUGUGGUCGGGCUGCCGUGGAAAAGUCAUCUCAAAUCAGCCCUAAAACCUCCGUAUAUAUAGGGGGAAGAGGGGGAGCCUUGCCUUGGGUCUCAAGGAGCCCCAAGGGGGUCGGCCGAGCCAAGGGGGCAAGGUCUCCCCCCCAAACCGAGUCCAACUUGGUUUGGUGGGUGGAGUCCUUCUUCCCUUUCCCACCUCCUCCUUUUUUUUUUCUUUUCUCUUUGAUUUUCUUCCUAUGGCGUAUAGGGCCUUCUUGGGCUGUCCCACCAGCCCACUAAGGGCUGGUGUGCCACCCCCAAGGCCUAUGGGCUUCCCCGGGGUGGGUUGCCCCCCCGGUGAACUCCCGGAACCCAUUCGUCAUUCCCGGUACAUUCCCGGUAACUCCGAAAACCUUCCGGUAAUCAAAUGAGGUCAUCCUAUAUAUCAAUCUUCGUUUCCGGACCAUUCCGGAAACCCUCGUGACGUCCGUGAUCUCAUCCGGGACUCCGAACAACAUUCGGUAACCAACCAUAUAACUCAAAUACGCAUAAAACAACGUCGAACCUUAAGUGUGCAGACCCUGCGGGUUCGAGAACUAUGUAGACAUGACCCGAGAGACUCCUCGGUCAAUAUCCAAUAGCGGGACCUGGAUGCCCAUAUUGGAUCCUACAUAUUCUACGAAGAUCUUAUCGUUUGAACCUCAGUGCCAAGGAUUCAUAUAAUCCCGUAUGUCAUUCCCUUUGUCCUUCGGUAUGUUACUUGCCCGAGAUUCGAUCGUCAGUAUCCGCAUACCUAUUUCAAUCUCGUUUACCGGCAAGUCUCUUUACUCGUUCCGUAAUACAAGAUCCCGCAACUUACACUAAGUCACAUUGCUUGCAAGGCUUGUGUGUGAUGUUGUAUUACCGAGUGGGCCCCGAGAUACCUCUCCGUCACACGGAGUGACAAAUCCCAGUCUUGAUCCAUACUAACUCAACGAACACCUUCGAAGAUACCUGUAGAGCAUCUUUAUAGUCACCCAGUUACGUUGCAAUGUUUGAUACACACAAAGUAUUCCUCCGGUGUUAGUGAGUUAUAUGAUCUCAUGGUCAUAGGAACAAAUACUUGACACGCAGAAAAACAGUAGCAACAAAAUGACACGAUCAACAUGCUACGUCUAUUAGUUUGGGUCUAGUCCAUCACGUGAUUCUCCUAAUGACGUGAUCCAGUUAUCAAGCAACGACACCUUGUUCAUAAUCAGAAGACACUGACUAUCUUUGAUCAACUGGCUAGCCAACUAGAGGCUUGCUAGGGACAGUGUUUUGUCUAUGUAUCCACACAUGUAAAUGAGUCUUCAUUCAAUACAAUUAUAGCAUGGAUAAUAAACAAUUAUUUUGAUACAGGAAUUAUAAUAAUAACUAUAUUUAUUAUUGCCUCUAGGGCAUAAUUCCAACAUUAAUUUGCCGUCUGCCCCCUCAUGGCAAAGAUUCUUUGCUGUCCGCUUUACAAAAGCAGACGGCAAAGAACCUCUUCACCGGAUUUUUUUUACCGUCUAGUUUGCCGUCUGCUCACCGAUGACAAAGCCUUUGCCGUCCGUGGAUCCCCCCUUUGCCGUCUGCCAUGGCAGACGGCAAAUUUCUGAAUUUCAGUAGUGUACCCCCUCUGCAUCUCAUGUGAUUUACGCAGGAGCGAGCCUUUUGACCCCGAGCCGAACCACCGCCAUGUGGGUUCUCCUCGUCAAUGAUUCCCUCGAUGCCAGCGAUUGCCUCUACCACCCACCGAAGCGCGGGAUGACGUCGAACACGUAGUUGACCUUCGGUUGUGUCGCUGUGGCUGGAAACGCCGCUGGUGAGCUCCCCCUCGCCCCUGUCAAGAGGUAGAUGACGACUGCAGGGUGGGACCCGUGCGUUAGUCUCUCCCUGCCUCUCUCUCUCGCUGAGAGAAGGGGCCCACGUGCAUGUUUAAAUUGAAACCUGUUGCGCGCACCCCUUCGCCCUCGGCACAUUUCAUCUGUGCCUGCUGUGCUCGCGUCAGUUUUGGCCGAGAAGGCACAUCACCCCUUUUUGUUUCCAAAUUAUUUAAAAUUUGCAAAAAAAACCAGGAUAAAAUAAUAGUCCAAAUACAGUAAUUCCAAUUUAAUGGUAUAACUUGUGUAAUUUUCACUAUAUCUUAAAAUGGUUUCCAAAAAAUUUUAAACUUCAAAACCAGAAUCCAAUAACUUUUACCAAGCUUAUAAGUACCCUACUAUUUUACAAAAUUGGCAUGACAUUUUUAGGAAGACUUUUUUCUCUGUUUUUGUCGUGCUCUUAUUUUUGCCCAUUAAAUUGCGACGAUAGAUUACGUCGUUGACGAGGGAAUUGGACCAGAAGACUUUGAAGACCCCGGAUACUUUAUUGAGCCAGGCAAACAACCCUUUGACCGUAUCUAGGCCUGGGCAUUCGGUUUAACCGAGCCAAUCGGUCCGUUUUUUGGGUAUUAAAAUAUUUCGGUUUCUUUAAACUGUAGACCGGUCGGUCCCUUAAAAAUUGCAUAAUCGAUAUUUUUUGGAACCAAUAAUUCGGUUCGAUCAUCGGUUUUGACUGAACCAAACUCAAGUUCACACAUAGUGUAUAGUAAUUUUCCUUUUUAGCAUGACUAUGCCGCUCGUGCAAAUGAAAUGGAUGGAAGUUGCUACCUUUAUAAGGCUGCGUACGCUUCCUUACUCAACAACAUUCGAGGUGGUACUAAACCAAAAGCACAUGUGGACGUGAAAAACUGUAUGGGCCGACUGCUAGAUCAAUCUUGGGCCUUAACAAACGUGUACGUGACGAAAACUGAGAUACGUCGUCCUGCUGAGCCAGUUCGGCUAGGAAAGCGACUAGCAAGGACAGAAAAUACAGGGAGGAGGAUGGCGUGUUAUUUAUUUUCGGUUUUUAAGCCUUUUUGGUUAAUUAAAUGUAAAAUCUGAAUUUUCCAAAUAAAUUUGGGUUCUGCAAAUUCAAGGACCAAAAUAGGACACAUAAUUUUCGGUUUCGGUUCAUUCGGUCUCGGUCUUGGUCCUUUCGGUUCGGUACAUCGGUUCUCGGUUAAUAUGCCCACCCCUAACCGUAUCUAAGAUGUUGGGAUCUACGUAGGUGCAUCGCAUGCGAUUUAAAAAUUCCUACGCGCAGAACAUCCAAGAACAUGCUAUGGAGAUGGAUCACAUAUUGUUACCACUAGACGCGCAGUGUCGUGCAGCGGAAGUAGAGUUGGGGUAGCGCGCCCGCGUGGUUCAUAUUCUCCUUGUCCGUUCUCCCUCGUGCAGCUGGUCCAAUCUCCAUCGUGAGGUCGGUCACCGGAUCUCGCGUACAGGCUCGCCGGAGCGGCACAAGUGCACCGCCUCUAAUGGUACCCGCACGUGCAGGAGGAACACACCGUGCGGCAGACUGCUAGGUCCGAUCACACGGUCGGUGAUAACCCAUAAGUAUAGGGGAUCGCAACAGUUUUCGAGGGUAGAGUAUUCAACCCAAAUUUGUUGAUUCGACACAAGGUGAAGCCAAAGAAUAUUCUCAAGUAUUAGCAGUUGAGUUGUCAAUUCAACCACACCUGAAAGACUUGUAUCUGCAGCAAAGUAUCAGUAGCAAAGUAGUGUGAUAGCAACAGUAGCAACGGGAAUGGUAGCAACAGUGACAACAGUAGCGACAGAGUAACAAUAGCAGCAGUGACAACAGUAGUGACAGAGAAACAGUAGCAGCAGUAGCGACAGAGUAACAGUAGCAACAACGGCAUCAAUAGCGGCAAAGUGACGUAGCGAGGACCAGUAGGAAAAACUCGUAGGCAUUGGAUCGGUGAUGGAUAAUUAUGCCGGAUGAUAUUCAUCAUGCAACAGUUAUAACAUGAAGAGAUAAGUAACUAGCUCCAGUUCAUCAAUGUAAUGUAGGCAUGUAUUCCGUAUAUAGUCAUACGUGCUUAUGAAAAGAACUUGCAUGACAUCUAUUGUCCAUCCCUCCCAUGGCAGCGGGGUCCUAAUGGAAACUACGUGAUAUUAAGGUUCUCCUUUUAAUAGAUAACCGGAACAACGCAUUAACACUUGGUGAAUACAUGAACUCCUCAUACUAUGGUCAUCUCCGGGAGUGGUUCCGGCUAUUGUCACUCCGGGGUUGCCGGGUCAUAACACAUAGUAGGUGACUACAACUUGCAAGAUAGGAUCUAGAACACACAUAUAUUGACGAGAACAUAAUAGGUUCGGAUCUGAAAUCAUGGCACAUGGGCCCUAGUGACAAGCAUUAAGCAUGGCCAAGUAGUAGCAACAUCAAUCUCAGAACAUAGUGGAUACUAGGGAUCAAUCCCCAUCAAAACUAACUCGAUUACAUGAUAGAUGUCAUCCAACCCAUCACCGUCCAGCAAGCCUACGAUGAGAUUACUCACAAACGGUGAAGAGCAUCAUGGAAUUGGCGAUGAAGGAAGGUUGGUAAUGACGAUGGCGACGAUUUCCCCUCUCCGGAGCCCAGAACGGGAUCCGGAUCUGCCCUCCAGAGGAAGAAUAGGAGGUGGCGGCGCCUCCGUAUCGUAAAACGCGAUGAACUCUUCUCCUUGAUUUUUUCGAAUGAAAGGGACUAAAUAGAGCUGGAGUUGAGGCGGUGGAGCUCCGUGGGCCCCACAAGCCUGCUAGGUGUGGCCAUGGGGGGCGCCUGGUGGGCUUGUGGGAUCCUCGCUCCACUUCUUUGGUUGAUUCUUGUGCCAGUAUUUUUUAUAUAUUCCACAAAAAAUCCUCGUAAAUUUUCAGGUCAUUCCGAGAACUUCUAUUUCUACGCAAAAACAACACCAUGGCAAUUCUGCUGAAAACAACGUUAGUCCGGGUUAGUUCCAUUCAAAUCAUGCNNNNNNNNNNNNNNNNNNNNNNNNNNNNNNNNNNNNNNNNNNNNNNNNNNNNNNNNNNNNNNNNNNNNNNNNNNNNNNNNNNNNNNNNNNNNNNNNNNNNGGCUUGUGGCCCCCCUGGAUCUCCCCUGCCCUAGCUCUUUGGCCUAUUUAUUCCCUAAAAUCCCAGAAAAAAUAAGGGCGUCCACGAAACCACUUUAUCGCCGCCGCAAGCUUCUGUUUCCGCGAGAUCUCAUCUGGAGACCCUUCCCGGUGCCGUGCCGGAGGGGGCUUUGGAGCUGGAGGGCUUCUACAUCAACAUCAUUGCCUCUCCAAUGACUCGUGAGUAGUCCACUUCAGACCUAUGGGUCCGUAGUUAGUAGCUAGAUGGCUUCUUCUCUCUCUUGGAUCUUCAAUACAAAGUUCUCCAUGAUCUUCAUGGAGAUCUAUCUGAUGUAAUCCUCUUUGGCGGUGUGUUUGUCGAGAUCCGAUGAAUUGUGGAUUUGUGAUCAGAUUAUCUAUGAAUUAUNAAUUAUAUUUGAGUCUUUGCUCAUUUCUUAUAUACAUGAUUUGAUAUCCUUGUAAGUCUCUCCGAGUCUUGGGUUUUGUUUGGCCAACUAGAUCUAUGAUUCUUGCAAUGGGAGAAGUGCUUGGUUUUGGGUUCAUACCGUGCGGUGACCUUUCCUAGUGACAGAAGGGGCAGCAAGGCACGCAUCAUGUUGUUGCCAUCAAGGGUAACAAGAUGGGCUUUCUUCAUAGAUUUGAGAUUGUCCAUCUACAUCAUGUCAUCUUGCUUAAGGCGUUACUCUGUUCUUAUGAACUCAAUACACUAGAUGCAUGUUGGAUAGCGGUCGAUGUGUGGAGUAAUAGUAGUAGAUGUAGAAAGUAUCGGUCUACUUGUUUUGGACGUGAUGCCUAUAUGUAUGAUCAUUGACAUAGAUAACGUCAUGACUUUGCGCGGUUCUAUCAAUUGCUCGACAGUAAUUCGUUCACCCACCAUCUACUUGCUUUCAUGAGAGAUGCCUUUUUCGAUAAGUAAGAGUGUCGAACCCAACUAGGAGCAGAAGGAUCUGACAAGUGGUUUUCAGCAAGGUAAUAUCUGCAAGCACUGAAAUUAUCGGUAACAAGUAGUUGUGUGGUGAGAUGAUUCGUAGCAAGUAGCAAGUAACAAAAGUAGCAACGGUGCAGCAAAGUGUCCCAAUCCCUUUUGUAGCAAGGGACAAGCCUGGACAAAGUCUUAUAGGAGGAAAAACGCUCCCGAGGACACAUGGGAAUUUCUGUCAAGCUAGUUUUCAUGAUGUUCAUAUGAUUCGCGUUCGUUACUUUGAUAGUUUGAUAUGUGGGUGGACCGGUGCUUGGGUACUGCCCUUACUUGGACAAGAAUCCCACUUAUGAUUAACCCCUCUCGCAAGCAUCCGCAACUACAAAAGAAGAAUUAAGACAAAGUCUAACCAUAGCAUUAAACUAGUGGAUCCCAAUGAGCCCCUUACGAAGCAACACAUAAACUAGGGUUUAAGCUUAUGUCACUCUAGCAACCCAUCAUCUACUUACUACUUCUGAAUGCCUUCCUCUAGGCCNNNNNNNNNNNNNNNNNNNNNNNNNNNNNNNNNNNNNNNNNNNNNNNNNNNNNNNNNNNNNNNNNNNNNNNNNNNNNNNNNNNNNNNNNNNNNNNNNNNNCGGAAGGUUUUCGGAGUUACCGGGAAUGUACCGGGAAUGACGAAUGGGUUCCGGGAGUUCACCGGGGGGGGCAACCCACCCCGGGGAAGCCCAUAGGCAUUGGGGGAGUCACACCAGCCCUUAGUGGGCUGGUGGGACAGCCCACAAGUGCCCAAUGCGCCAAGAGAAGAAAAAUCAAGAGGAAAGAAAAAAAAAGGAAGGAGGUGGGAAGGAAGGGGGACUCCUCCCACCAAACCAAGUCCAACUCGGUUUGGGGGGGAGUCCUCCCCCCCCCUUGGCUCGGCCGACUUCUUGGGGGUCCUUGGACCCCAAGGCAAGGCCCCCCCCUCCCUCCUCCUAUAUAUAUGGAGCAAUUAGGGCUGAUUUGAGACGACUCUCUCACGGCUGCCCGACCACAUACCUCCACGGUUUUUCCUCUAGAUCGCGUUUCUGCGGAGCUCGGGCGGAGCCCUGCUGAGACAAGGUCAUCACCAACCUCCGGAGCGCCUUUACGCUGCCGGGGAACUCUUCUACCUCUCCGUNACAAGGUCAUCACCAACCUCCGGAGCGCCUUUACGCUGCCGGGGAACUCUUCUACCUCUCCGUCUCUCUUGCUGGAUCAAGAAGGCCGAGAUCAUCGUCGAGUUGUACGUGUGCUGAACGCGGAGGUGCCGUCCGUUCGGUACUAGAUCGUGGGACUGAUCGCGGGAUUGUUCGUGGGGCGGAUCGAGGGACGUGAGGACGUUCCACUACAUCAACCGCGUUCUCUAACGCUUCUUCUGUACGAUCUACAAGGGUACGUAGAUCACUCAUCCCCUCUCGUAGAUGGACAUCACCAUGAUAGGUUUUCGUGCGCGUAGGAAUUUUUUUUGUUUCCCAUGCGACGUUCCCCAAUAGCAAGCCCCACCCAAAGUGUAAACUCAAAACAACGGACAACUGCAUUAACGAACUAUGCGUAAGGUAAACAAUCCUUGCAGCCGUGGUCACAAGCACCGUUGUUUUCUACCUGGUGGCAACAAGCACAUCCCCUAGUCUCAUGUUUCUGUCACUAAAGCUAGACAUCGAGGGGCAUGAACCCAUAAUCAUGCAUAACGCUCCCUCUUGGAGUUACAAUCUACUACUCGGCCAAAGCAAUAAAUAGCAACGGAGANNNNNNNNNNNNNNNNNNNNNNNNNNNNNNNNNNNNNNNNNNNNNNNNNNNNNNNNNNNNNNNNNNNNNNNNNNNNNNNNNNNNNNNNNNNNNNNNNNNNACAAUUGAGCAAUGAGCUACCUGCAGAAUCAUGGCUCUCCAAGUAGCAUUUUACUUUCUAAUAACACAGAUGUGAACGAAGCUAGUUGCAGGUUCAUAUGUGUUGACACAAUAUGCCAGAAGAAUAUUCUCUGUUGCCUGCUUGCACCUUUUUUCUGCUGGAGCAUUCUUUCUUUCCACGUGUCUUAUAACUUUGUGCUAGAUAAUGACAGUAUAUCUAACCCUUUGCAGGUGAGACCACCAUCAGAGCGUCAAUGCUGCACCAUGGGCGCAAUAGCACUUGAUUAGGCCUUCCAGCAAUCCCAAUGCAUGAUUGAUCAUAUUUCAUGGUUCAACGACUUCAGACAUGCCGCCCGUAGUAGUGCGAGAGUUCAUCCUGUGUUACAUAGGAGUUGUCGAACCAUCGGAAUUAGAUCUCAUAUGUUCCUGUUGGUAGCAUGUAAAUUUGGGUGUCAAACUGCUUUGUGGGUGUGUAUUGGUUACCCACCUCAGAUAUGUGUAAAAGGCCGCAUAGAAACGGAGGAAAUGACUGGGCCCGUGUUGUUUACACUUUGUUACUGCAAUGAUAUCCAGUAGCAUUUUCACGGGAAAGAUGGCUUGAGUUGACCGGAAAGUUACCAAUAAAGCAUGUUGGCUUUAAAUUUGAGUUUAUGUUAUCCUGUUUGCGUGGGAUGAUAUCAUGGCUUGGUUUUGCUUUUCUGCAGCAAAUUUUUAUGUUCCCUCGGUGAGCAACUACUAGUAAAGAUUAUGAGUGUUGCAGCGAUGGUAAGUCGCAAAGUAGCAUGCACUUUCAAUGACUAGUGGGCAGUGGUCGUGGGGCAGCAAGAUGGUGCUGAGUGAGUGGAUGCUUUUGACGGGAAGGUGUCCGUUUUGCUACUAAAAUAUCUGUAUAAUCGCACCCUCACAGGCUUGGUUUAGUCUGAAAUUGUGUAGUGUAUUGCUAAAUAAUCGCUAAGGGACACACGGGGCUGCUAAAGAGUGGCGUCUGCUUUGGCAAUGUCCCUGUCGCCGGAUGCUUCUGCUUCAUUUGCACUUCUAUAGUUCUAUUCUCUCUCGGCAUGGUUUUUUGCUGGAGUAGUAGUAUACUGAGCAUCGAAAGAAAACAUGUUUGUUUCCCAAGUCACAUGUUGAGGUUGGCGCGAUCCGAU